Molecule: long non-coding RNA, 3333 nt
Organism: Hypanus sabinus (Atlantic stingray)
Lineage: Eukaryota; Metazoa; Chordata; Chondrichthyes; Myliobatiformes; Dasyatidae
Exons: 2
Source: RefSeq, a predicted model, not a curated record
GGAAUGUCAAGCCGAAAGUGGGAGGCAAUUGAGGAUUCAUCACCACUGCCUGCCUUUCGAUCACUGAUGGGUUCCCUCUGCUGCCAGAAGGGUGACUGUGCGGCAGCUGGCUGUGAACGUAAGGCACCAGUGCAGCACUUCCUUGGUAUUGUAUCAACCUGGACUUUUGUCAAAGGACUUUUUUGAAGAGGAACUUGAAUAUUCAAUCUUCUGACUCAGUGGUGUCUUAAGAAUCACCAUUCAUAAUAAUGAUCAUGAGGCACAGUAUUUACUGAGAAGUAACUCCUAUUGUCUCAAACAAAAAGCGCAUGGGAUCAUAAGCUAACCACUGUGCGCACUCCACUAGAACAGGGGUCACCAACCUUUUUUGCACCAUGGACCGGUUUAAUAUUGACAAUAUUCUUGCAGACCGGCCCGGCGGGUGGGGGGGCGGUGUGGGUGUUAAUAUCAACCAGAAUAUAAGUGAUAAGUCAACUAAAAGUCACAUUUUCAUUUUUAGAAUCUUUUUAUUAAUACAUAUUCUUCUACAACUAUAGAAUAAUACAAAACCUCACCAAAUUAAUAUGUAUACAAUUAAUAGAGCUGAAAAAGAACUAAUCGUAAUAUAUAGAAAUGAAAAAAAAAUGUUAUGUAUAGAAAAAAAGAAGGAAAAAAAAGAACCCCAUCUAACUAAGAAAAAAACCCAUUAACUACAAAAAAAACCCAUUAGGAAUCAACACCCGGAAGCAAUACAUUUAACCAUAAUCUAGAUAUAUUAAAAAAGUCAUCAACCGCCAAUUCACAUUUUUUUUAAAAAGAUAAUAAAAUUGGAAGGAAACCAUAUAGAAUAAUUCAAAUUAAAUGGUAAUAUUUGGCAAAAGAACCCCAUCUUCGCUCAAAAUCAAAUCGAGGUUCAAAAGUUCUACUACUAAUUUUUUCCAAGCUGAGACAUAACAUUACUUGAGAAAACCAUUCAAUUAAUGUAGGGGAAGAGAUAUCUUUCUAUUUUAAUAAAAUAGCCCUUCUUGCCAACAAUGUAACAAAUGCAAUUACAUGUUGAUCUGAAGAUGAAAUACCCUGAAUAUGAUGUGGAACUAUUCCAAAUAGAACAGUUAGUCUAUUAGGUUGUAAAUUAAUUUUCAAAGCUUUUAGAGAUUGUAGAAAAUAAAGAUUUCCAAAACAGUUUUAAUAAAGAACCUGACCAGAACAUAUGUGACAAAGUAGCUACUUCAGUUUUACAUCUAUCAGAAUAAUUAUCUACACCAGGAAAUAUUUUAGAUAGUCUCUCCUUUGUUAAAUAAUAAUGAUGGACAAUUUUAAAUUGAAUUAAACAGUGAUUGGCACAUAUAGAAGAAGAAUUUAUGUUUUUCAAAAUUCGAACCCAAUCUUCAUUCACAAAGGUCAUAUUAAGUUCUCUCUCCCAAUCUUGUUUAAUCUUCAGUGAUAGGUUCUCUUUUUGUAAAUUAUAAAUUCUGCUAAGGGAACCUUUCACUAAGGGAUUCAAUUUCAAAAUGGUAUCCAACAAAUCAGAUUCUUGUAAAUAUGGAAAGUUAGGUAAAUAUUAUUGUAAAAAAUGUCUAACCUGAAAGUAUUGCAAAAAUGUGUAUGAGCGAGAGAGUAUUUGUUAAUUAACUCUUCAAAAGUCAUCAAUUGACCAUUACAAAAUAAAUCUGUAAAAAAAACUGAUCCCUUUAUUUUUCCAUAGGAGAAAAAUGGGGUCGGUUAUUGAAAGUUUAAAUGAAAACUUUCAAUAUAAAAAACUAGACAACUUAAAUUGUUUAAAAUUUUAAAAAUUACGAAACUGAAUCCAAAUCCGUAAAGAUUGUUUAAUAACUGGGUAAAAAUUUAAAUUUGGAAUUUUGGAGAGCUGUAGAGCUCCUAAUAUUGAAGUUAAAUGAAAUUGUUUAACAUCUUUUAAUUCCAAAUCAACCCAAAGUGGUUUUUGGCUCUUAUCGAGCCAGUAUAACCAAAAACAUAAUUGUCUAAUAUUUACAGCCUAAUAAGAAGUGUAAGUCCACCAUCUUUUUUUGGGAUUUUGUAAAUGGUGCUUGUUGAUUCUUGGUCUCUUAUUGUUCCAAAUAAAGGAAGAAAUAAGAGAGUCAAUUUGAUAGAAAAAAAUUUUAGUUAAAAAGAUAGGUAUAUUUUGGAAAAUAUAUAAAAAUCUAGGUAAAAUCAUCAUUUUCACAGCAUGGAUACGACCUAUUAAAGAAAGAGUAAGUGGAUUUCAUCUAGAAAAUAGUAAUUUCAUGGAAUCUACUAGAGGAACUGUAUUAGCUUUAUAAAAAUCUUUAUAUUUUUAGUAAUUAUAAUACCUAAAUAUCUAAAUGUAUUAACGAUUCUAAAAGGAAUAUCACUAUAUGUACUAACAGGAGCAUUUAAUGGAAACAAUUCACUUUUAUUCAAAUUAAGUUUAUAUCCUGAAAAUUUUCCAAAAUCUUUAAGUGUUUCCAAAAGAUUAGGAAUUGAUUCCUCAGGAUACAAAAUAAAAAUCAGAAGAUCAUCUGCAUAAAGAGAAAUCUUAUGUAUUGUUACGUACCCUGUAACUGGGUUUACAGACCAGCAGAAAUAGAAGAGUCUGUUGGAGUCUGGUGGUACUGAAAACUAAAGGUGUUUAUUAGUAAACUACACAAUACAGUAUCAAAAAUGCAAAUAUACAUAUAAAACAGGUUAACAAUAAUUAACCUAGAUGUGUAGGAAUAAUGAUCAAUAAUAAUAAACAAGCUCUAUCAAUGUCUAGGGGUAAAUGUAUUGUCAUAAGAGAAUAUAGAGUUCAGUUCAUGUGUGCUGAGGUAGUUGCGGUUGUUGUAUUGUAAUUUGUUGGGGAGAGAGAGAGAGAGAGAGAGAGAGAGAGAGAGAGAGCGAGCAAGAGAUUGAGCAGCUGCAGCCAGCAAACCUUCUGUUGCUUUCUGAUCCCGUCGUACCAUUGUGGUCAUUCCAUUGUAACCCCUCUGUUCUUCAGCUGGACCAUUCAUCUGUGGUGGACUCAUCAGUCUGGCCUGAGUGGACACACACACAAGUCCCCACCAGCCCUGCUGUAACACUGUGAGCUUUACUGUCCGAUCUCCCGAUUCGGUCCUUGAAACCCCCACCUUUCUGUGGGUGCACAACACUCGGUCAGUGUCCACUGGUGUGUCUGAGAGGUGUCUCCCCACACCUGUCUUUUAUCCCCAUUGACAGGGUAUCAGCCAUCCAUCAAUUCAAAAUGACCAUGUCCAUCAAAUCAGGCCACUCCUGCUGUCUCCUUAGGAAUGUUAACGAGCAAAGUAAUGUCCUUGCAGCGAAAGGUAAACAAUCAAACAAUCCAGGAAGAAGCCAUAAUAUAUAAAUCUAAUGUCUCUCUCUCUCUCUCUCUCU